UCCUGGUUACCUGAGUUGGUAGAGCACUCCACUAGAAAUGGAGAGGUCCCUGGUUCGAUAGCAGGACUAGGUG
This is a non-coding RNA of Ixodes scapularis (black-legged tick), 73 nucleotides long. The record is from Rfam. NCBI's taxonomy places the organism in Eukaryota, Metazoa, Arthropoda, Arachnida, Ixodida, Ixodidae.